UGAGGAAUAUUGGUCAAUGGGCGAGAGCCUGAACCAGCCAAGUAGCGUGCAGGAUGACGGCCCUAUGGGUUGUAAACUGCUUUUAUAUGGGAAUAAAGUGAGGGACGUGUCCCUUAUUGCAUGUACCAUAUGAAUAAGGACCGGCUAAUUCCGUUCCAGCAGCCGCGGUAAUACGGAAGGUCCAGGCGUUAUCCGGAUUUAUUGGGUUUAAAGGGAGCGUAGGCUGUUUGUUAAGCGUGUUGUGAAAUGUAAGAGCUCAACUUUUAGAUUGCAGCGCGAACUGGCAGACUUGAGUGCGCACAACGUAGGCGGAAUUCAUGGUGUAGCGGUGAAAUGCUUAGAUAUCAUGACGAACUCCGAUUGCGAAGGCAGCUUACGGGAGCGCAACUGACGCUAAAGCUCGAAGGUGCGGGUAUCGAACAGG
Molecule: ribosomal RNA, 424 nt
Filed under: Verrucomicrobiota bacterium
Lineage: Bacteria; Pseudomonadati; Verrucomicrobiota
Description: Verrucomicrobia bacterium partial 16S ribosomal RNA
Rfam family: Bacterial small subunit ribosomal RNA
Source: RNAcentral